GUGGGGAAUUUUGGACAAUGGGGGCAACCCUGAUCCAGCAAUGCCGCGUGUGUGAAGAAGGCCUUCGGGUUGUAAAGCACUUUUGUCCGGGAAGAAAUCGCACCUGAUAAUACCGGGUGUGGAUGACGGUACCGGAAGAAUAAGGACCGGCUAACUACGUGCCAGCAGCCGCGGUAAUACGUAGGGUCCAAGCGUUAAUCGGAAUUACUGGGCGUAAAGCGUGCGCAGGCGGUUGUGCAAGACCGAUGUGAAAUCCCCGGGCUUAACCUGGGAAUUGCAUUGGUGACUGCACGGCUAGAGUGUGUCAGAGGGGGGUAGAAUUCCACGUGUAGCAGUGAAAUGCGUAGAGAUGUGGAGGAAUACCGAUGGCGAAGGCAGCCCCCUGGGAUAACACUGACGCUCAUGCACGAAAGCGUGGGGAGCAAACAGGAUUAGAUACCCUAGUAGUCC
RNAcentral lists this ribosomal RNA (450 nucleotides) under uncultured bacterium. RNAcentral's name for it is "partial 16S ribosomal RNA". It matches the Rfam family "Bacterial small subunit ribosomal RNA", at positions 354 to 796 of the family's 1533-position model. The record is from RNAcentral.